AUGGCAUCUCAUUUCUUCACUGUUCUCACAAAGGUGACCAGCUGUGUGACAAAUCCUUGGAAUCUGGAGCUGACCCCUGAGGGAAUAGUACCAGGAAAUUAUGUUUUGGCUUCACUUCUGAAUCAACAAUGAUGGUCGCCAUCUGCAGAGGAUGAGGGAGAAGGAACAGUUUAGCAUGAGUAUCAGCAUUUCUGAGAGUAAUUAUGUGUUUUUAAUUGACACAGUUUAUAUAUAUGUAUAUAUAUAAUUUUAUUAUAUC
This 259-nucleotide long non-coding RNA is filed under the name Macaca mulatta (Rhesus monkey). RNAcentral describes it as "lncRNA (ENSMMUG00000061912.1)". Lineage: Eukaryota; Metazoa; Chordata; Mammalia; Primates; Cercopithecidae. The record is from RNAcentral.